This 553-nucleotide non-coding RNA is filed under the name Vairimorpha apis BRL 01. RNAcentral describes it as "Nosema apis BRL 01 Eukaryotic large subunit ribosomal RNA". It matches the Rfam family "Eukaryotic large subunit ribosomal RNA", at positions 1 to 934 of the family's 3401-position model. The record is from Rfam by way of RNAcentral. Lineage: Eukaryota; Fungi; Microsporidia; Nosematidae.
GAAUAUAUUAAUAUAAUAGAUUACCCUUUGAACUUAAGCAUAUCAUUAAAAGGAGGAGAAGAAACUAACUAGGAUUUCUUUAGUAGCAGCGAGUGAACAAGAAACAACCCUUGAUUGUAAUCCUUAUGGAGCUGUAAAUCAUAUAUUUUAUUUCUUAUUUCGUAGAGGAUGUAUAUCCGUUAUAAAUGAGAUAUAUAAUAGUAAUUGAGUAGGGCUGCUUGGUAGUGCAGUUUGAAUAUAGGUAGAAUGAGAUAUCUAAGGUUAAAUAUCAUGGUACACCGAUAGCAAAUAAGUACUGCGAAGGAACUUGUGAAAAUGUGUGGGUUAUAGCCUUAUUUUUAAGGACCCGUCUUGAAACACGGACCAAGGAGAUUAUAAUUAUAGCGAGAUAACAAUGUAGUCGUUAUUAGCUUGAUAAGUUAUAAUUAUAAGACCCGAAACACAGUGAACUAUACAUGUUCUGGUUGAAGAUAAGCAACAGUUUAUUGGAAGACCAUAAUCAUUCUGACGUGCAAAUCGAUGAUUUAAGAUGUGUAUAGUGGCGAAAGACCAA